UCAGACGAGCGCGGUGGUCCCACCUGACCCCAUGCCGAACUCAGAAGUGAAACGCCGUAGCGCCGAUGGUAGUGUGGGGUCUCCCAUGUGAGUAGUGAGAGUUUGCC
RNAcentral lists this ribosomal RNA (107 nucleotides) under Klebsiella planticola. The record is from RNAcentral. Lineage: Bacteria; Pseudomonadati; Pseudomonadota; Gammaproteobacteria; Enterobacterales; Enterobacteriaceae.